GAUGAACGCUGGCGGCGUGCCUAAUACAUGCAAGUCGAGCGAACAGACGAGGAGCUUGCUCCUCUGACGUUAGCGGCGGACGGGUGAGUAACACGUGGAUAACCUACCUAUAAGACUGGGAUAACUUCGGGAAACCGGAGCUAAUACCGGAUAAUAUAUUGAACCGCAUGGUUCAAUAGUGAAAGACGGUUUUGCUGUCACUUAUAGAUGGAUCCGCGCCGCAUUAGCUAGUUGGUAAGGUAACGGCUUACCAAGGCAACGAUGCGUAGCCGACCUGAGAGUGUGAGCGGCCACACUGGAACUGAGACACGGUCCAUACUCCUACGGGAGGCAGCAGUAGGGAAGCUUCCGCAAUGGGCGAAAGCCUGACGGAGCAACGCCGCGUGAGUGAUGAAGGUCUUCGGAUCGUAAAACUCUGUUAUUAGGGAAGAACAAAUGUGUAAGUAACUAUGCACGUCUUGACGGUACCUAAUCAGAAAGCCACGGCUAACUACGUG
This 497-nucleotide ribosomal RNA is filed under the name uncultured bacterium. RNAcentral describes it as "partial 16S ribosomal RNA". It matches the Rfam family "Bacterial small subunit ribosomal RNA", at positions 28 to 507 of the family's 1533-position model. The record is from RNAcentral.